This is a long non-coding RNA of Myxocyprinus asiaticus (Chinese sucker), 1815 nucleotides long. RefSeq lists it as uncharacterized. The record is from RefSeq and is a predicted model, not a curated record. The transcript has 2 exons. Lineage: Eukaryota; Metazoa; Chordata; Actinopteri; Cypriniformes; Catostomidae.
CAUGUUUAAAAUUUAAAUGCACAGAAAUGAACAUUCUGGCCUUUCUAAAAAUUAAUAGUAAAGUAAUAAAUUCUAUUGGUUGUAAUAAUGUUUUUAUUUUUUUAAUUAGACCACAAAAUAAAGAAAAAAAAAUUUCAUUAUUAAGUAUUGAUUAAUGCAUUACUGACUUUAUUCCAAACAGAGUAAAUGUUGCUAUUGUGGAGCACACUAUUUUGAACAGAAUGCUAACAAUGUUCUCAAAAUAACAGAUUUUUAGCUAGUACAAGCACUUCUGCACCACACAACAACAAAAGUUUAGUUAACCAACUACAGAUAUCUUCCUUUACCCUAGCUGUUGUGAUGGAAGAAGGAAUCAAAGCUGAAGCAGCUAGAAAAACAUUCCCUUUUCAUUUCAGCUCACAUUUUGCUGCAGAAUCCUCUGAACUAUCUAAAAUAGAUUUGAAUUUACAGAUGUAAAAGAUGUAUAUUCAGUGUAUACAACAGCUAGUAUAGAGACAGGCCAGGGGGUGUUGCUUUCACAAAAUAUCCUGGAAAUAUCAUGGAAAAUAAUGUUGGAAAAAGAGCCUGGGUAUUCAGAUAGUUCUCUGGUUUUCAUAUAGAGUAAAGGUGGGAUUUUGUCUAAGGCAUGUGACUAUAUCCAGGAGCUACGUCAGAGCAAUUCAUGACUAGAAGACGAGUUUAAUACUGUGGCUAGACUGAGGAUGUACAAUCAGCUUCUCAAGCAAGAGGUGGAAGAGUGGCAAUCAAAGAACCAGAUGAUAAGAACUCAAUUAAGACAGCAUGGCAUAGUGGCAGCAUCGAUGGACCCUCAAUGAAGGACUAAAGAUCCACCAUAAGAUAUCUUCUACUGUGGUCUUAUCAUGAAUUCUGUUUAAACAGGUUUGAAAUAAGAAAUCAUUCUAUCUGUGGACAAUCACACAGCCUGUAAUCGGAAAGACUGCAUUUUUAUCUGAUUUGCCUAGGUGGUAAAGGAUUUUACAAAGCUCCUGAACAUGGCCUUGAUUUUUCUUCACUUUCUCAAGUGUUUGACUUCACAUACAGCCUUUUAUUAUUUCAGAUUUUCAGGUGAUUUAUUUUUACUGCACUGAAAUAGUGUAUACUUGUUGUAUAAUCUGUUUUUAGAUCUGUACAUUUAAUUUUCAGGACUACUGUAGAAGUGGAUGUUUCAUUUUUUUAUUUUUUAUUUUUUUUAUGUAAUGUGUAAAUCUCGGUGCCCUUCUUUGGGUUCUAUUUAGAUAAAAUUUGAUAAACAUUACGACAAUUCAAAUUGGCCAUCAUCUUUCUAUGCCUUUCUAUUCCAGCCUCCAUGUAAUAUUCCAUGCUUCCAACAUGCUACUUUAAUGGUUGUUAAGCUUGUAUUUAAUAAGGCUAUGUCCUCAACCAGUGCCUUCUGACACUUUUAAACUUUGUCAUUUAGCCUAGAGCUACAAUUUAGAAUAUUGUCUGCAAUUUUAAUAGGACACCCCAUCCAUCAGUAAAUGUUACUUUUUAUUAAAUCAGUAGUAAUUUACUAUUGCAUGUAGUGGGAUUUGUGGUGCAAUUUCAACUCAAAAUUAAAUAGCAGCCAUUAAUGAUACAUGAAACGAUGUGUAUUGUCAAUAUGAUUUACAUAUUCUCUACAUGUUUUAAACCAUUGUUUACUAUUUAUUUAUUACAUUUGGAAAUGUCUUAAUGUUAUUGAUACUUUUCAUUACUGAGUGGUUGUUCAUAUGGGAAAAUGUAUUCAUCAAUAUACACAAAACAAAGACAUUACAGAAUUAUAAAGACAAUUUUUUUUUUUUUAAUAAAAAUUACAACCAAACAUUUAAUUCAAAA